RNAcentral lists this ribosomal RNA (486 nucleotides) under uncultured bacterium. Its description in RNAcentral is "bacterial SSU rRNA". It matches the Rfam family "Bacterial small subunit ribosomal RNA", at positions 29 to 507 of the family's 1533-position model. The record is from RNAcentral.
AACGAACGCUGGCGGCGCGCCUAACACAUGCAAGUCGAACGAGAAUCCGGGGCAACCCGGUAGUAAAGUGGCAAACGGGUGAGGAAUACAUGGGUAACCUACCCUUGAGAAGGGAAUAACCCGCCGAAAGGUGAGCUAAUACCCUAUACGCUAUCUUUUUUUCGAAAGGAAUAGGAAAGCCGGGUCGAGGACCUGGUACUCAAGGAGGGGCUCAUGUCCUAUCAGCUUGUUGGUGGGGUAACGGCCUACCAAGGCUACGACGGGUAGCUGGUCUGAGAGGAUGAUCAGCCACACUGGCACUGAGAUACGGGCCAGACUCCUACGGGAGGCAGCAGUGAGGAAUAUUGCGCAAUGGGCGAAAGCCUGACGCAGCGACGCCGCGUGGGGGAGUGAAGGUUUUCGGAUUGUAAACCCCUUUCCAUGAGGAAAGAUAAAGUGGGUAACCACUUAGACGGUACCCAAGAAGAAGCCACGGCUAACUUCGUG